UGUCACCUCCUGUCCCUGUCCCUGUCCCUGUCCCUGUCCCUGUCCCCUCCCUGUCCCCUCCUGUCCCCAAUAAAAGUGGAGCAGCAGCGCCCCCCGCUCGUGCCUUGGGGACACCGGGGGGGGUUGGGGACACCCCGGGGACACCCCCGGGCCGGGCGGUGACGUCAUCGCGGCGCCGUUGCCAUGGUGACUCCGGCGGGGGACACAAAACGGGGGAAAAAAAACUCCCGAAAACGCCUCAAAACGGCCCAAAAACGGCCCAAAAACGGCGCAGAAUCGGGGAAAAAAUCAGCGGAGAUGGAAGGGAACCGGCCAACCCCAAAUCGGCCAAAAACCGCCCAAAAACAGCCCAAAAAUAUCCCGAAAACAGUCAAAAAUCACCCCAAAAUAUCCCGAAAAUUGCCCAAAAAUCGCCCCAAAAUAUCCUGAAAAUUGCCCAAAAAUCGCCCAAAAAUCACCCAGAAAUCAACAAAAAUAUCCCGACAAUUGCCCAAAAAUCACUCAAAAAUCAUCCAAAAUCUGCCCCAAAACCAGCCAAAAAUCGGCCAAAACCUGCUCAAAAAUCACAAAAAAAUAUCCCGAAAAUUGCCCAAAAAUCACUCAAAAAUCAUCCAAAAAUAUCCCGAAAAUUGCCCAAAAAUCACUCAAAAACCGCCCUAAAAAUCGCCCAAAAAUAUCCCGAAAAUUGCCCAAAAAUCACCCAAAACGCGCUCAAAAAUCGGCAAAAAAUAUCCCGAAAAUUGUCAAAAAAUCACUCAAAAACCGCCCAAAAAUUGCCAAAAAAAUCCCGAAAGUUGCCCAAAAGUCACUCAAAAAUCACCCAAAAAUUACUCAAAAACCGCCCCAACCCCCGCCAAAAAUUGGCAAAAAAGUCCCGAAAAUUGCCAAAAAACCACUCAAAAAUCGUCAAAAAAUCACCCAAAAAUUGCCAAAAAAAUCCCGAAAGUUGCCCAAAAAUCACUCAAAAAUCACCCAAAAAUCGCUCAAAAAUCACCCAAAAAUCACUCAAAAACCGCCCAAAACCCCCCCAAAAAUCAGCAAAAAAGUCCCGAAAAUUGCCCCAAAUUCUCCCUGAAUCCCCCCAAAUCCCCCCGGCUCUCCCCAGCCGCGAUUUUUGGGUGUUGAACAAAUUUUUGGGUCCCUGGAGAUUUUUUUCGGGAUUAUUUUUUGUCGAUUUUGGGGGGUUUAAAUCGAUUUUUGUGCCCCCCCGCGAGGUUUUGGGUUCAAUAAAUGGAAUUUUCAGCUGUUUUGGGGGACACGAAGGGAAUUUGGGGCUCCCCCGGGUGGGGUUUUGGGGACAUUAAAGCCAUUUUUGGGGGAAAUUUCAGGGAUUUGGGGGAAAUUUAAAGCAUUUUUUAGGGAAA
RNAcentral lists this long non-coding RNA (1364 nucleotides) under Cyanistes caeruleus (blue tit). RNAcentral's name for it is "lncRNA (ENSCCEG00000005222.1)". Lineage: Eukaryota; Metazoa; Chordata; Aves; Passeriformes; Paridae. The record is from RNAcentral.